Long non-coding RNA from Cebus imitator (Panamanian white-faced capuchin), 406 nucleotides. RefSeq lists it as uncharacterized. NCBI's taxonomy places the organism in Eukaryota, Metazoa, Chordata, Mammalia, Primates, Cebidae. The transcript has 3 exons. The record is from RefSeq and is a predicted model, not a curated record.
AUGUCACAUCAGUUCUCAAAACGUUGUAGAUUUUGGAGCAUUUCAUAUUUCGGAUUUGGGAAUUAGGGAUGCUCAAUCUGUAACAGUUAUUGGAUCCAGCAUAUUGAAUAAGCAUGAGUCAUGCCAGAAACCAAAUUUUAGUUCAGUGUGUUCCCUUCCUCCCCGCUAAGCGCUCUGUAGGGUCCAGCCCUACAGGGUCCUGUGAGUCCCUCUCUACAGGUGUAGAGAUGAGAAACUGUGAAAAUAAAGACACAAGACACAGAGACAGAGAAAAGAGAGUUUGGACCCAGGGGUCCACUGUCAACCAAAGUGCGGAGUCCGGCAGUGGCCUCCAGUGCCUGGACGCUCUGACUUUUACUGAAUACAAAGCAGGGGGCAGGGGAGGUAGGCCAAGCAAUGGUGAUCA